Molecule: ribosomal RNA, 433 nt
Filed under: uncultured bacterium
Lineage: Bacteria
Description: partial 16S ribosomal RNA
Rfam family: Bacterial small subunit ribosomal RNA
Source: RNAcentral
AACGAACGCUGGCGGCAUGCCUAACACAUGCAAGUCGAACGAGACCUUCGGGUCUAGUGGCGCACGGGUGCGUAACGCGUGGGAACCUGCCCUUAGGUUCGGAAUAACUCCCCGAAAGGGGUGCUAAUACCGGAUAAUGUCUUCGGACCAAAGAUUUAUCGCCUUUGGAUGGGCCCGCGUUGGAUUAGCUAGUUGGUAGGGUAAAAGCCUACCAAGGCGACGAUCCAUAGCUGGUCUGAGAGGAUGAUCAGCCACACUGGGACUGAGACACGGCCCAGACUCCGACGGGAGGCAGCAGUGGGGAAUAUUAGACAAUGGGCGAAAGCCUGAUCCAGCAAUGCCGCGUGAGUGAUGAAGGCCUUAGGGUUGUAAAGCUCUUUUACCCGGGAUGAUAAUGACAGUACCGGGUGAAUAAGCUCCGGCUAACUCCGUG